CCUACGGGAGGCAGCAGUAGGGAAUAUUGGGCAAUGGAGGCAACUCUGACCCAGCCAUGCCGCGUGCAGGAUGAAGGCGUUAUGCGUUGUAAACUGCUUUUAUAUAGGAAGAAAGAGUUCUUGCGAGAACAGUUGACGGUACUAUAUGAAUAAGCACCGGCUAACUCCGUGCCAGCAGCCGCGGUAAUACGGAGGGUGCAAGCGUUGUCCGGAUUUAUUGGGUUUAAAGGGUGCGUAGGCGGUUUAUUAAGUCAGUGGUGAAAGACGGUCGCUCAACGAUUGCAGUGCCAUUGAUACUGGUAGACUUGAGUGAGAUUGAGGUAGCUGGAAUGGAUAGUGUAGCGGUGAAAUGCAUAGAUAUUAUCCAGAACACCAAUUGCGUAGGCAAGUUACUAAGUCUCAACUGACGCUGAGGCACGAAAGUGUGGGUAUCAAACAGGAUUAGAUACCCUGGUAGUCCACACUGUAAACGAUGAUAACUAACUGUUGGUUUUCGAAUCAGUGGUACAGAGAAAUCGUUAAGUUAUCCACCUGGGGAGUACGCCGGCAACGGUGAAACUCAAAUGAAAUUGACCGGNGUGAGAGAGCGAGGACGACACGAGGGAGGAGG
RNAcentral lists this ribosomal RNA (610 nucleotides) under uncultured bacterium. Its description in RNAcentral is "bacterial SSU rRNA". It matches the Rfam family "Bacterial small subunit ribosomal RNA", at positions 338 to 951 of the family's 1533-position model. The record is from RNAcentral.